CAACGCCGCGUGAGUGAUGAAGGUUUUCGGAUCGUAAAGCUCUGUUGUUAGGGAAGAACAAGUGCCGUUCGAAUAGGGCGGCACCUUGACGGUACCUAACCAGAAAGCCACGGCUAACUACGUGCCAGCAGCCGCGGUAAUACGUAGGUGGCAAGCGUUGUCCGGAAUUAUUGGGCGUAAAGCGCGCGCAGGUGGUUCCUUAAGUCUGAUGUGAAAGCCCACGGCUCAACCGUGGAGGGUCAUUGGAAACUGGGGAACUUGAGUGCAGAAGAGGAAAGUGGAAUUCCAAGUGUAGCGGUGAAAUGCGUAGAUAUUUGGAGGAACACCAGUGGCGAAGGCGACUUUCUGGUCUGUAACUGACACUGAGGCGCGAAAGCGUGGGGAGCAAACAGGAUUAGAUACCCUGGUAGUCCACGCCGUAAACGAUGAGUGCUAAGUGUUAGGGGGUUUCCGCCCCUUAGUGCUGCAGCUAACGCAUUAAGCACUCCGCCUGGGGAGUACGGUCGCAAGACUGAAACUCAAAGGAAUUGACGGGGGCCCGCACAAGCGGUGGAGCAUGUGGUUUAAUUYGAAGCAACGCGAAGAACCUUACCAGGUCUUGACAUCCUCUGACAACCCUAGAGA
This 624-nucleotide ribosomal RNA is filed under the name Bacillus sp. (in: firmicutes). Its description in RNAcentral is "bacterial SSU rRNA". It matches the Rfam family "Bacterial small subunit ribosomal RNA", at positions 392 to 1006 of the family's 1533-position model. The record is from RNAcentral. Lineage: Bacteria; Bacillati; Bacillota; Bacilli; Caryophanales; Bacillaceae.